This 301-nucleotide ribosomal RNA is filed under the name uncultured bacterium. RNAcentral describes it as "partial 16S ribosomal RNA". It matches the Rfam family "Bacterial small subunit ribosomal RNA", at positions 509 to 808 of the family's 1533-position model. The record is from RNAcentral.
CAGCCGCCACGGUAAUACGAAGGGUGCAAGCGUUACUCGGAAUUACUGGGCGUAAAGCGUGCGUAGGUGGUGGUUUAAGUCCGUUGUGAAAGCCCUGGGCUCAACCUGGGAAUUGCAGUGGAUACUGGGUCACUAGAGUGUGGUAGAGGAUAGUGGAAUUUCCGGUGUAGCAGUGAAAUGCGUAGAGAUCGGAAGGAACAUCUGUGGCGAAGGCGACUAUCUGGGCCAACACUGACACUGAGGCACGAAAGCGUGGGGAGCAAACAGGAUUAGAUACCCCUGUAGUCCCUGUCUCUAUACA